Corythoichthys intestinalis (scribbled pipefish) is the source of this 870-nucleotide long non-coding RNA. RefSeq lists it as uncharacterized. Lineage: Eukaryota; Metazoa; Chordata; Actinopteri; Syngnathiformes; Syngnathidae. The transcript has 2 exons. The record is from RefSeq and is a predicted model, not a curated record.
CACAAGAGUCAUUGGGUGCUGGAGCCAAUGCCAGCUAACUAUGGGCAGGAGACAGGGUACACUGAAGUGAUUGCCAGCCAAUCACAGGGCACAAUUAAUAAUCAAUUUAUGAUUAUUUUCUCCCCUUUCUUUCUUUGUUCUUUUCUUUCUUUUCUUAUCUUUUUUAAAAACUAGUUUAUAGAAGUAACAGUAGUUUAUAUCCCUCAAUAUCUGGGAGACUUGGUCUCACACUUCUAGCCAUUCGGCUUCCUUUUUGUCCUCACCAGUCAUUCUCUUUGGUAGGCUUGUAAACAAACCAACAGGGGCACUUUUAUCUCUUCCGGUUCUGUUCUCACAAAGACAAAGCACAAAGGAGAUCUGCGCCAGACACUGCAAGACUACAAGCUGCAGUCUUCAUAAAUCACAGCCAAUCCACAUCACAGUUGACCCUCACCCUAAAACUUCACAGAGCUGCAUACAAGACUCCGCUUUCCUCUUAUCCCAUUGCCAAAUAGCACUUUCAUCAUGUUUGAAAUAGAGUUUGACAAUGCCUUUGUAUUUUAAGGAUAUCAUAGUCAAGCUCAACUCAAAAGCCCUUCUUGCAUACUUAUACAAUAUUUGUUCUUAUUCAAAAUGAAUGCCCUGUGAUUGACUGUUGACCAGUCGGGGAUGUAUGCCUCCUGUUCCCCAAAGUCAGUCGAAGUAGGCUGACCUAUCCCACAUUGAAUAGUGGAUGGAUUCAAAAUGGAGUUCAUACUGUGAAAGGAAAACACAAUCAACUGACAUUUUACAAGUUAUUUUCACUGAAGUGACUUUGUGCUAGUCCAAUGACACAAUAAAUCACUCGGCAGAGGGACGAAUAAAAGCCCUACCGUGCAUUAUUUUAAAAAA